ACCCUCUCAGGAUAGCACCUGGAGAGUUUCCAGGACUCUACCAGUUUGGCCUACAGGAGGGUGAGUCAAGCAGAGGUCUACCCAUUCCAUUCCUAGCUUGGGCAGUGGCUAUCAAGUGGAAGGCAAUCUGCUACAAAU
This is a non-coding RNA of Ornithorhynchus anatinus (platypus), 138 nucleotides long. The record is from Rfam. NCBI's taxonomy places the organism in Eukaryota, Metazoa, Chordata, Mammalia, Monotremata, Ornithorhynchidae.